CAUGAUACAUUGUGCAUGUGGAGAAGUAAAGGAUGGACUGCAAUCUCCAUGGGUGAAAGUGGAACUGUGACCCUCCACCUUCUCUAUGGCUGGCUGCCCUGGACUGCAAAAUAAGUGGAGAUGCCCUAUAGCCUGCACCCUGCUCUCUCUGCUGCUAACCUUCAAGCUGCCUCCAAGAGCUUUCUUGAGAACUGGCUGGGGCAAGUGACUGGCUGACAAAUUUUCUUCUGAUCAUUGGAAGCCUCAUAAGCAUGGUUCUACCAGAAGGGUUUUCGCAUGUCACUCAAUGCAUCUGCCACCUGUUUGCCUCCGUAAGUAAUGAACAGAUAUUGGCAGCCCCCUGUGAGAGAAACCUGAUACACUAGCUGCUCCCGGGUGCCUAGGUACAGCAGCAAACACCUGGAUUUUUAUAUCCAGACUGUGGCUAGAGGGACAAUCUUAAAAGUUUUUUACUUCUUCUUUUCCUUGUAUAUUGAAUAGUUUGGUAUUUGAUACUUUGUACCGGCUUGCAUAAAUAAAACUCUUGCAAUACCUG
Non-coding RNA from Phalacrocorax carbo (great cormorant), 535 nucleotides. The record is from RefSeq and is a predicted model, not a curated record. Lineage: Eukaryota; Metazoa; Chordata; Aves; Suliformes; Phalacrocoracidae.